AGAGUUUGAUCAUGGCUCAGGACGAACGCUGGCGGCGUGGAUUAGGCAUGCAAGUCGAACGGUAUAAACCUUUCGGGGUUUAGAGAGUGGCGAACGGGUGAGUAACACGUAGGUAAUCUACCCUCAAAACGGGGACAACCCAGGGAAACUUGGGCUAAUACCGGAUGCGUGCAAGCAAUGUUUUGGCUGUUAAUGCUAUUCACGGAAGUGAGUAGUGUUAAUGGUUGAGAGCAUUAUUUGCAUAAAAGGUGGCAUAUGCUGCCGUUUGAGGAUGAGCCUGCGUCCUAUUAGUUAGUUGGUGAGGUAAUGGCUUACCAAGGCGAUGAUAGGUAGGCGGCCUUAACGGGUGGUCGCCCACACUGGGAUUGAGAGACGGCCCAGACUCCUACGGGAGGCAGCAGUCGAGAAUAGUCUACAAUGGACGGAAGUCUGAUAGUGCGACGCCGCGUGAACGAAGAAUCCCUUCGGGGUGUAAAGUUCUUUUAUACGUGAGCAGUGCCCUUUAUAUGAAUAGUAUAGAGGGAGGGAUUUAAGCGUAUGAAUAAGCAACGGCUAACUCCGUGCCAGCAGCCGCGGUAACACGGGGGUUGCAAGCGUUGUCCGGAAUUACUAGGCGUAAAGUGCAGGUAGGCGGAUAGAUAAGUUUAAGGUUAAAGGCUACGGCUUACCCGUAGUAAGGCGUUAGAUACUGUUUAUCUGGAAUGCGGUUGAGGGAGACAGAAUUCCUGGUGUAGCGGUGGAAUGCGCAGAGAUCAGGAGGAAUACCGAAAGGCGAAGGCAGUCUUCUAAGCCGAUAUUGACGCUAAACUGCGAAGGUGUGGGGAUCAAACAGGAUUAGAUACCCUGGUAGUCCACACAGUAAACGAUAAUCACUAGGUGUUGGGUUCGUAUAGGACUCGGUGCCGGAGCUAACGCGAUAAGUGAUUCGCCUGGGGAGUACGAUCGCAAGGUUGAAACUCAAAUGAAUUGACGG
This 973-nucleotide ribosomal RNA is filed under the name bacterium enrichment culture clone HB_106. Its description in RNAcentral is "bacterial SSU rRNA". It matches the Rfam family "Bacterial small subunit ribosomal RNA", at positions 8 to 916 of the family's 1533-position model. The record is from RNAcentral.